RNAcentral lists this non-coding RNA (25 nucleotides) under Rattus norvegicus (Norway rat). Lineage: Eukaryota; Metazoa; Chordata; Mammalia; Rodentia; Muridae. The record is from RNAcentral.
UGCAGAGAGGUGGCCCUGCACUUGG